Molecule: long non-coding RNA, 447 nt
Filed under: Monodelphis domestica (gray short-tailed opossum)
Lineage: Eukaryota; Metazoa; Chordata; Mammalia; Didelphimorphia; Didelphidae
Description: lncRNA (ENSMODG00000039532.1)
Source: RNAcentral
GAAAACCGUUACAUUUCUAUCAGGGGAAUGUGAUCCAAUCAUUUGGGCAGGCAUCGCUCCCCAGCAUUUUCCUUUAUGCUAAACUUCAUUUAUGUAAUCUACAAUUUCCAGCUAACUCUUGAGUACAAAGCUGUUCACUGGAACUAUUUGAUGGGUGUUUAAGAUGGAAACUAAUGGUGAAAGAAAAAGAUAGCAGUUGAAGCUCAAAUCUUUCCUGAACAUUUCUCUUUUGAAGAAUCGACUUUUAAAAACGAUAUGCUGAUUUGGAAGGCCCCAGGAGUGAUUUGCAAAAUUUAUUUUUUCCAUUCAAUCUAUGGAUUUUUUAACCAUUCCUUGGAGUAGAGGAAAUUCAGAGGAGACCUGUGAUGGGAAAAGCGGCAUGCCGGUGUUUUUGUAGCCCCUGUAUCUUGGAUUAAUUUGUUGUUUUACCGAAGAGAUUCCAUUUUG